AUGGGAUUUUAGGCUCUUUAGCCCAGCCAACAGACAAUCAAAAUGCAGAGAGCGUGUUCUUGAGUCAAGCAACAAGUGGUAAUUCAGGUUCUAAAAAGUUCUAUUCUAAUGGGAACAAGAAACCUGUUUGCACUCAUUGUGGAUUUAAUGGACACACAGCUGAAAAAUGUUACAAAAAACAUGGGUACCCUCCCGGUUGGAGGCCAAGAAGUAGGAAUGCAGGGGCAGCCAAUCAGUUCCAAAUAGCUGCCCAGA
This is a long non-coding RNA of Ipomoea nil (Japanese morning glory), 255 nucleotides long. RefSeq lists it as uncharacterized. The transcript is spliced from 3 exons. The record is from RefSeq and is a predicted model, not a curated record. NCBI's taxonomy places the organism in Eukaryota, Viridiplantae, Streptophyta, Magnoliopsida, Solanales, Convolvulaceae.